This is a non-coding RNA of Acanthosepion pharaonis, 113 nucleotides long. NCBI's taxonomy places the organism in Eukaryota, Metazoa, Mollusca, Cephalopoda, Sepiida, Sepiidae. The record is from the annotation of a GenBank genome assembly.
UUACGGCCAUAUCACAUUGAAACAUCGGUUCCUGUACGAUCACCGAAGUUAAGCAACGUUGAACCUGGUCAGUAUCUAGAUGGAUAACCGCUUGGAAAACCAGGUGCUGUAAG